This is a non-coding RNA of Eimeria brunetti, 160 nucleotides long. Lineage: Eukaryota; Apicomplexa; Conoidasida; Eucoccidiorida; Eimeriidae. The record is from Rfam.
AAACUUACUUGGCUGGCGCUCGGGGUGGCUCCUGCAUCACCCUGUCGUAGCUAUGAGCAGCGCAUUGCACUCAGCGGCCUGUGAUUGGCUAGGCCCGCCCCUAGAGGGUGGCUCCACAGCAGAAUUUCUGGUCAGCAGCUCGUGUUCGCGCGGCUGCUAA